This 253-nucleotide ribosomal RNA is filed under the name uncultured bacterium. RNAcentral describes it as "partial 16S ribosomal RNA". It matches the Rfam family "Bacterial small subunit ribosomal RNA", at positions 524 to 776 of the family's 1533-position model. The record is from RNAcentral.
CACGUAGGGCGCAAGCGUUGUCCGGAAUUAUUGGGCGUAAAGGGUGCGUAGGCGGCGCGGUAAGUCGGGUGUGAAAUCUCGGGGCUUAACUCCGAAACUGCAUUCGAUACUGCCGUGCUUGAGGACUGGAGAGGAGACUGGAAUUUACGGUGUAGCGGUGAAAUGCGUAGAUAUCGUAAGGAAGACCAGUGGCGAAGGCGGGUCUCUGGACAGUUCCUGACGCUGAGGCACGAAGGUCAGGGGAGCAAACGGG